This 2119-nucleotide long non-coding RNA is filed under the name Pan troglodytes (chimpanzee). RNAcentral's name for it is "lincRNA". Lineage: Eukaryota; Metazoa; Chordata; Mammalia; Primates; Hominidae. The record is from RNAcentral.
AGACAGGCGCGUGGCCCCGCGCCAGCUAGCAGCCCAAGCUGUGCAGCCCAGGCUUCUGAGGGAGGCAGAAGAAAGAAAUCCAAGCCUCGGACAAGUUAACUAAGGGCACGGCAGGAAGGAGGUGUCCUCCUCAUCGCCAUGUGCACGUGUCGUCCGUCAGUGCUCCAUGCAGUGCUCCACCACGGCAUCCGCCACUCUGCCACCAGCUCCGCGGGGAUGGACGCACAGGCCCCAGUCACGGCCCUGCCCCGAGGAGAUGCUGGUCGUCUUCCUGCUCAUUCACUCCCCUGUGCUGCACUGCUGGGGUCAGACAAGGCUCCAUCCAUGAACCCAUGACUUCAAAAGAAAGAAACCUUUGUCCUCAAAUUUGGUAACAGGCAAACGGUCUGCGUGGAAGCCCUGUCUGCAGCCUCUGCUCACUCCAGGACGUGCUGCCCUCACUGCUCCUCUGCCCUCACAGCUCAAGGCUGAGCAUUCCCGUAUCCACGCAAGAAGGCCGGGGGACUGGCUCCCCAACAGCGGCCAGGACCUUGGGGGCACCCAGGGAGACUGGGGCCCUGCACCUCAGGGCUUUGGAUCCAGGUCUGGGACGAGCCCUGGGAAUCAGCAUGGGAGCAGUGGCAGCCAUCCUGUGGCCCUGAGGGGAGCUGGCUGGAGGACAACCUGAAAUGCCGAGGGCAGCAGGAGGAAACACGGAAGGAACCUGCGUCCUGGGUGACAUCCCGGACCUGCUGCACUCGCCGGCCCUGGAGCCACCUGCCUCUGGCUUCAUGUGAGCUGUCACACUGUUAUUAUUAUUUCGGUCCUCAAGUAGGGGUUUCCUGCUCCUUGCAGCCGGAAGCAGUAAGUGGUACCCACCCCACCCCUGCAGGGCAGUCUUCUGAUGGCUCUGAACUCCCUGAGGUGGGGGCGAGGCAGGGUCUGUGCUUCACUCUGAGGGCCCAGUGGAGCAGCAGGUGUUCGAACACAUAGGGUUUACCCCAGGCAGAAACCACCCUCAUAAGGGCAUGAGACCCAGGCAGAGCGAGCUCUCUGGCCUCUUGGUAUUUUCUUUUGUGUCUGUCUUCUCAGCAGCCUAUGAGCUCCUCCAAAGCAAAAAAUUGCCAUCGUGCUAAGGGGUUCUGGACCCUGGGGCCAGGCACAGGGCCAGGGACAGAGUGGGCAGGUAACAAAGGCUUGCUGGGCACUGUGGGAGAGAAGGGAACGGAGGCGUUGAGGAGCAAGAGAAAAGGAGAAGUGGAAGGCCAGACAGGCAGAGAAGGAAAGGUUCGUGGAGAGCAGUCUCUUCAUGGGGACCCAAGGAGGCCCCACCAGAGAGGAACUGAGGCUGUGAAAUGGAAGGAUGGAGGCCUGAGGGACCCAGGCCAGUGGACAAGUGAGCCCGAGCAGACAGAACCAUCCCCAUGCCCAUCUGGUUGUCUCCUCCUCCUCCACCUCCUCCUUCUCCCCCUCCUCCUCCUCCCCCCUUCCUUCUCCUCCUCUUCUUCCUCCUCCUUCCCCUUCCUCCUCCUCCCCCUCUUCCUCCUCCUUCUCCUAUCCUCUUUUUCUUCCUCAACCUUUUCCUCCUCCUCCUCCUCCUCCUCCUUCCCCGCCUUACCCCUCCUUCCCCACACUCUGAAAUGAGCACAUGGCUCAGACUGAGAGGACAAACCUCCAGCUGAAUUUAGUUGUAGCUGUGUUUCCCCAAAAUGCUUUGAGGAUUCAUCAGAACCAGUAGCUGCCUCUCUGCUUCCUCAUCUACACACCUAAUUUUGUAGCUUCAGAACAGGUGUGACUCAGGCAGAGGAAGGGCUACACAGGUGUCACUGUGCCCACCCCUAGGGAGACUGCUACAGACAGACUUCCUGGUGGGACCCGGCCCCCACCCAUGCAUGGUGGCCACGGGCAUGAGGAGGCUGAUAAUGACAAGGGGAGCCAUGAUGACCACAGGGCUUAUAGAGAUCUCGCCAUUUGCUGAGCAAUGUGGAGGAAUGUUACACACACCAUGUCGCCUCCCCCGACGCCUGCAGGGCAGGUAUCAUUGCCCUGCAUUCUAUUGAGGAGGAAAUUGAGUUGGAAGUGCCCAAGAUCACGUCGUUAAUAAAUGGCAGGGCCUAAACAAGCCCUUAGCCGCUACAAC